GAUGAACGCUGGCGGCGUGCCUAAUACAUGCAAGUCGAGCGAACAGACGAGGAGCUUGCCUCUCUGACGUUAGCGGCGGACGGGUGAGUAACACGUGGAUAACCUACCUAUAAGACUGGGAUAACUUCGGGAAACCGGAGCUAAUACCGGAUAAUAUAUUGAACCGCAUGGUUCAAUAGUGAAAGACGGUUUUGCUGUCACUUAUAGAUGGAUCCGCGCCGCAUUAGCUAGUUGGUAAGGUAACGGCUUACCAAGGCAACGAUGCGUAGCCGACCUGAGAGGGUGAUCGGCCACACUGGAACUGAGACACGGUCCAGACUCCUACGGGAGGCAGCAGUAGGGAAUCUUCCACAAUGGGCGAAAGCCUGACGGAGCAACGCCGCGUGAGUGAUGAAGGUCUUCGGAUCGUAAACCUCUGUUAUUAGGGAAGAACAAAUGUGUAAGUAACUAUGCACGUCUUGACGGUACCUAAUCAGAAAGCCACGGCUAACUACGUG
RNAcentral lists this ribosomal RNA (497 nucleotides) under uncultured bacterium. Its description in RNAcentral is "partial 16S ribosomal RNA". It matches the Rfam family "Bacterial small subunit ribosomal RNA", at positions 28 to 507 of the family's 1533-position model. The record is from RNAcentral.